CAGGGAGACAACAAAAUGUUAAAUACUAAUUUUGUCACCUUAGGUCGAUCGGUAUCUCAUGUUCUUAAUUAUUUUAAGAAUUUCAUUUCCUAAGUUUUUUCUAGGUCACACCCAUUACUUUCCCUGGGCCAUUAGCUCAGGUGGUUAGAGCGCACCCCUGAUAAGGGUGAGGUCCCUGGUUCAAGUCCAGGAUGGCCCAUAUCUCUAUGUUGGGGGUAUAGCUCAGUUGGUAGAGCGCCUGCUUUGCAAGCAGGAUGUCAGCGGUUCGAGUCCGCUUACCUCCACUGAUUACCACCUCUUCCAUAAAUUUAAAGAAGGGAAUAGUUAUGAGUAUUGAUUUAGUUCUGAACGAAUCUAGCUUCCUAAUAAUUAAAUUAAGAUGCUGGACUCAUUGAAUUUUUUUUCAUUGUUUUCAGAGAACCUUGACAACUGCAUAGAUUAUUUUUAAAGACAAUAAGCAUCUUUAUUGAUGCAGAUUGAUUAUUUGUGCUAAUGCAUUAAUAACAAUUCUAUUGAGCUGAUGCUUCAAUUUUUUGAAGUUAUU
Molecule: transfer RNA, 544 nt
Filed under: uncultured cyanobacterium
Lineage: Bacteria; Bacillati; Cyanobacteriota
Description: partial contains 16S ribosomal RNA, 16S-23S ribosomal RNA intergenic spacer, and 23S ribosomal RNA
Rfam family: tRNA (bases 212-284)
Source: RNAcentral